CAGUCGAACGAACUCUGGUAUUGAUUGAUGCUUGCAUCAUGAUUUACAUUUGAGUGAGUGGCGAACUGGUGAGUAACACGUGGGAAACCUGCCCAGAAGCGGGGGAUAACACCUGGAAACAGAUGCUAAUACCGCAUAACAACUUGGACCGCAUGGUCCGAGUUUGAAAGAUGGCUUCGGCUAUCACUUUUGGAUGGUCCCGCGGCGUAUUAGCUAGAUGGUGAGGUAACGGCUCACCAUGGCAAUGAUACGUAGCCGACCUGAGAGGGUAAUCGGCCACAUUGGGACUGAGACACGGCCCAAACUCCUACGGGAGGCAGCAGUAGGGAAUCUUCCACAAUGGACGAAAGUCUGAUGGAGCAACGCCGCGUGAGUGAAGAAGGGUUUCGGCUCGUAAAACUCUGUUGUUAAAGAAGAACAUAUCUGAGAGUAACUGUUCAGGUAUUGACGGUAUUUAACCAGAAAGCCACGGCUAACUACGUGCCAGCAGCCGCGGUAAUACGUAGGUGGCAAGCGUUGUCCGGAUUUAUUGGGCGUAAAGCGAGCGCAGGCGGUUUUUUAAGUCUGAUGUGAAAGCCUUCGGCUCAACCGAAGAAGUGCAUCGGAACUGGGAAACUUGAGUGCAGAAGAGGACAGUGGAACUCCAUGUGUAGCGGUGAAAUGCGUAGAUAUAUGGAAGAACACCAGUGGCGAAGGCGGCUGUCUGGUCUGUAACUGACGCUGAGGCUCGAAAGUAUGGGUAGCAAACAGGAUUAGAUACCCUGGUAGUCCAUACCGUAAACGAUGAAUGCUAAGUGUUGGAGGGUUUCCGCCCUUCAGUGCUGCAGCUAACGCAUUAAGCAUUCCGCCUGGGGAGUA
RNAcentral lists this ribosomal RNA (858 nucleotides) under Lactiplantibacillus plantarum. RNAcentral describes it as "bacterial SSU rRNA". It matches the Rfam family "Bacterial small subunit ribosomal RNA", at positions 59 to 882 of the family's 1533-position model. Lineage: Bacteria; Bacillati; Bacillota; Bacilli; Lactobacillales; Lactobacillaceae. The record is from RNAcentral.